GGUGGCUCACUGGUAGAGUGCUUGCCUUGAAUGCAUGAGGCCCUGGGUUCAAUUCCUCAGCACCA
RNAcentral lists this transfer RNA (65 nucleotides) under Dipodomys ordii (Ord's kangaroo rat). It matches the Rfam family "tRNA". Rfam says of the family: Transfer RNA (tRNA) molecules are approximately 80 nucleotides in length. Lineage: Eukaryota; Metazoa; Chordata; Mammalia; Rodentia; Heteromyidae. The record is from Rfam by way of RNAcentral.